GAUGAACGCUAGCGGCAGGCUUAAUACAUGCAAGUCGAGGGGCAGCGGGGGUAGCAAUACCUGCCGGCGACCGGCAAACGGGUGCGGAACACGUACAGAACCUUCCUUUAAGUGGGGGAUAGCCCGAAGAAAUUCGGAUUAAUACCCCGUAACAUUGUGUAGUGGCAUCACUAUAUAAUUACAGAUUUAUCGCUUAGAGAUGGCUGUGCGGCUGAUUAGGUAGUUGGUGGAGGAACGGCUCACCAAGCCUUCGAUCAGUAACUGGU
RNAcentral lists this ribosomal RNA (266 nucleotides) under uncultured bacterium. RNAcentral's name for it is "partial 16S ribosomal RNA". It matches the Rfam family "Bacterial small subunit ribosomal RNA", at positions 28 to 291 of the family's 1533-position model. The record is from RNAcentral.